GCUCGCUAUUGGCUGCGCUGAGGGAGUAGCAGAGAGCGUUUACAGUACAGCCUUUGAAGAAGGCAGAGUGAAGUAUGACAGAUGAGGCUGAUCGGCACGCGAUGUUCACCGUUUGCAUAGAUGAAAACACCUCUCGAUAUACAAGUUUUCGAGACGUCGGACCGAAGAUUGACCCUCAGUGAAGCUUCCACCAUGGGAUUUGGGCAUUGUUUCACAUUUGAUAAUAUCUUGUUAGGCACAUCUAGUGUACCAAUCCCAUUGUAUUUCUUUAGUCAUGCACUUAAUCCUCAGUUGUUUUAAAGUAAAAGUACAAAAAAAAAAAAAAAGCAAAAAUUUCCCGCCCGGGUAGAAAAUAUGCCAAGUGAAAGCCAGCUUGCUCAGCAUAAAAUGAAAGAUUGAUGCCAGUACAAAAGUGAGAACUCAAAGGACAUGUUCUCAAGGUUACACCUUCUCAAAUAUUUCAUAUGAUUUAGUAAAUGUGCCCACAGGACAUUUAAUAGAUUGGCACGUUUUCUCCCCUGUGUGCCGUACCAGAAUUGCUGAAGGAAAUUAUGCAAUGUGAAAUUGAGCUGGAAUGGUUUUCAUGGUAACUGAAAUCCUAUGAGAAGCACACAAAUUCUCCAUAACAGUGAUCUGGAUUCGCAGCAUCCACAUUUGUUUCAUUUUCAAUGCACUUUUUUCAUUUGUAAUGACACCAAUUUGAUGAGCAUGAAAUAAUCAUGUCUUCAAACAAUGAACUGGUCUCAUUUAGCAAAAAAAAGUUUUUGUAAAGCCCCUUAGAUUUAUUAGUAAAUUAAAAGUAUUCAUGUCUAUAAGUCUCUAAACCGUCUAUGAGAUUGCUGUAAUGCGUUUUGAUUGGAAGUCCCAAAGAGAAGGGAAAUAUUUCCGCUUCUCUAUCACAAGAUAAUGUGCACCUAAUAACGGAUAAGCCCUCAGGGGCAUCCGUCCAUUCAUGCUACAAUAGCAGGCUUAAUUGCAUUAUUAAUUAUUUUUCCCUCAAGGGAUGGAGUGGAAUUAUACGUAUAUGAGCAAUUAUUACAUGGUAUAAACCUUUGAACGUGAAAGAGAAGAGCACAAUGCGAUAACCGUUUUGUUUUGCAUGUCAUGGUCACAUGAGCAAAUUAUGAUGUUAUGGCUGUAAGUGUAACAACAGGAAGUCUGGAGCGAGGCUUAUGCUGAAAAUGUGGCCACAAGUCAUUUAACUCUAACUUAGUCACUUGAUAAGUGUUCAUUCUUUUCUCAGGUGAUUGAUGUGUAGUACCAGCACACUUCAUUUCGCCUUGAGUAUUUCUCCGUGACAAGCAUUGAGCCAAGCAAUUAAAAUGCAUAUUAGCUGUACAGUACCUGAAAGAAACAAAUGCCCUCAAAUAAAUUUUAGAUGAGGUUAGGAAAUAUUUUAAAGCUCUGAACUGGUUAAGGUCAGAAGGAAGCUUGAGUGCUGGAGGGGUUUUGAACUCUCAUUCAUUGGUCAGCUUCAUGCAUGCUAAUAGUCAUGUGUCAUGCAGGUUUCAGAAAUUGUGCCUACGGGCUCGACUAAACUAGGUCACAUUUUGCUGUUGCUUGUAAGGGGAAGUUUUUCAUCUAGUGAAAAUGUGUACUAUCAUUGUGUGGCCAAACUGGCCAUAUAAACACUCUUAAGUGGAUUACACUGCCCAUUGAAUAAAACAGCAUUUUAUGGCAAUAAAGCAACCCUGAUUACAAGGUUAUAUUGUUAACCGAAAACAAUAAUAAUGUAUUUUAUCAUACAUAUUAAACCGUAUAUUUGAAGACAAAACAAACAUAAGAGGGAUAUAAAGCAGAGCAAAAGAGCACAAAGGACACAGGUCAGCAGUCAGGAGAGGAGGAGUACUAGAUGUGUCAUUGGCAAGGUCACCCCCUUAUCAUGAUCAUGUGUUUAGGAAUAACUUGUCUUGCUCAGACUGAGAGAUGCACAAAGUGAUAAGCAUUUCUCAGGAAAAACAUGUUUUUUAUUUCUUCAUGUUGCAUCAACUUGUAUGUAUCAUACACCAAAAUUGUAUCCAUCUGAAAAAAACAAAAAUUCUGACUAAAAUCUGUGCUUAAAUGUGUGUUGUUAACAGCGCAGAUUUUUCAAACUGAAAUGAUUUGAAACCUUCAAAUGCCAAAAUAUAUUACAAAAUGUACUUCAAGUGGCAGAAAGUA
This 2160-nucleotide long non-coding RNA is filed under the name Sinocyclocheilus anshuiensis. Its description in RNAcentral is "lncRNA (ENSSANG00000019892.1)". Lineage: Eukaryota; Metazoa; Chordata; Actinopteri; Cypriniformes; Cyprinidae. The record is from RNAcentral.